AUGAGACAUCGUUCCCGAGUGCCGUGGCUGCGGAAAGGAGACCGAAACACAGCCUACUAUCAUGCACAAGCAGCGCAGCGGAAACGUAUGAAUAGGAUUGCCAAUCUUCGUCGUGCGGAUGGAUCUUUUUGUGCAUCUGAGGCUGAAGAUAUGGCGGAAGUACAGUCAUUCUAUCAGAACUUAUAUUCCUCUCAAGGGUAUAAUGAUAUGAGUGAGCUGUUGAAGUAUGUUCCCGAGCAUGUCACCGGGGAAAUGAAUAUGAUGCUGGAUAAACCAUAUGAACUGGAGGAGGUCCGAGUUGCACUGUUUUAG
Molecule: ribosomal RNA, 312 nt
Filed under: Triticum aestivum (bread wheat)
Lineage: Eukaryota; Viridiplantae; Streptophyta; Magnoliopsida; Poales; Poaceae
Description: partial small subunit ribosomal RNA
Source: RNAcentral